RNAcentral lists this long non-coding RNA (397 nucleotides) under Elaeis guineensis (African oil palm). RNAcentral's name for it is "long non-coding RNA (EGUI_LNC047356)". The record is from RNAcentral. Lineage: Eukaryota; Viridiplantae; Streptophyta; Magnoliopsida; Arecales; Arecaceae.
UUUUUUCCAGAUUUUAUUUUAGUCUUUAUCCUCUCAUUCUCACACCUAAACCCAACCAAAAAUGGGAUGUCGAACCUAGUUGUAGCACCCCCUUUAAAUAGGGAAAAGGGGGGAACACCAUGGGAUGCCAACCCUUAGCGUCCCUUAAUUCUUACAUGCCUCCAACAAAUUUUAGUAUGGAAUCCCAAGGUGUGUGGUAUAGAAAAGGAGGUGUUUCAUCUAUAGAAGGGCUCUUCCUCUACCUGAAAAAAUCAAUACACCAUCAUAUGGUGCAUGGAAGAUGGAGAAUGCAUGAAAUACUAAGAGUCUAUGAUAUUAUAGACUCUUCCAUAUCAAUGCAAAUAUUUGGCAUCUCAUUUAUUAUUGGGCAUUCAAAUUCCUUCAAAGAGAAGGACUC